Molecule: non-coding RNA, 87 nt
Organism: Caenorhabditis elegans
Lineage: Eukaryota; Metazoa; Nematoda; Chromadorea; Rhabditida; Rhabditidae
Source: Ensembl
UAUCCUUCACUGCAUUGUGAAGGCGUUCCUUUCCACCAUGGUGAUGUUUUCCCAGCCAUCUGCGCUCUCCACGUGGCUUUUCAAACA